GAUGAACGCUGGCGGCGUGCCUAAUACAUGCAAGUCGAGCGAACGGACGAGAAGCUUGCUUCUCUGAUGUUAGCGGCGGACGGGUGAGUAACACGUGGAUAACCUACCUAUAAGACUGGGAUAACUUCGGGAAACCGGAGCUAAUACCGGAUAAUAUUUUGAACCGCAUGGUUCAAAAGUGAAAGACGGUCUUGCUGUCACUUAUAGAUGGAUCCGCGCUGCAUUAGCUAGUUGGUAAGGUAACGGCUUACCAAGGCAACGAUGCAUAGCCGACCUGAGAGAGGGAUAGGCAACACUGGAACUGAGACACGGUCCAUACGCCGACGGGAGGCAGCAGUAGGGAAUCUUCAGCAAUGGGCGAAAACCUGACGGAGCAACGCCGCGUGAGUGAUGAAAGUCUUCGGAUCGUAAAACUCUGUUAUUAGGGAAGAACAUAUGUGUAAGUAACUGUGCACAUCGUGACGGUACCUAGUCAGAAAGCCACGGCUAACUACGUG
This 497-nucleotide ribosomal RNA is filed under the name uncultured bacterium. RNAcentral's name for it is "partial 16S ribosomal RNA". It matches the Rfam family "Bacterial small subunit ribosomal RNA", at positions 28 to 507 of the family's 1533-position model. The record is from RNAcentral.